Molecule: long non-coding RNA, 1735 nt
Organism: Uranotaenia lowii
Lineage: Eukaryota; Metazoa; Arthropoda; Insecta; Diptera; Culicidae
Exons: 6
Source: RefSeq, a predicted model, not a curated record
CUCGAAUUCUAGCGGUUAGAAUUCGAUCCGUUUUCGGUUCGAUUUCCAUCAGCCUGCUCGAUUGCUCGAAAACAGACGAUAUUUUUUGCAGUGCUGCAAUGAACAAAACAAAACACGAGCAGUUUUCGAUGGCAGCAAUCCAAGUGCGUGUUUCGAUUUGGCGCGUGUUUGUUGUGAAUUGUGUUGUAAAAUUUGGUCUGUUUCUGCCGUUUCCGCUGUUUCUGUUUAGAAAUGCUUUGAGCGUUUUACAGAAGAAGCCAUUGUCGGGCGAUAAUUGAAUAAAAAGCAAGAAAACAUCAGCCCAUGCAAACAAAGCUUCCAAGGAAAUGUCCCGUGUGUACGGGCUAUGGUGGAAUGUCAUCCCGGACAUCGGAUCCGGAUCCGAAUCCCGAACCCACUCAGAGGUGGUGGCUUCACUUGGAUGACUUUUAAUUAGUUUUUGUCGUGAUACUUCAAAGUGGAAAGCAAGAAAACAUCGACCAAUGCAAAUAAAGCUUCAAAGGAAAUGUCCACACGGUACGGGCUCUGGUGGAAUGUCAUUCCGGACAUCGUAUCCGGAUCCAGAUCCCGGACACGCUUAGAGGUGGUGGCUUCACUUGGAUUACUUUGAAUCAGUUUUCGGUGUGAUAGUGGAAAGCAAGGUCUGCUUUUGACUUGUACAACAAAGUCGGUCACUGGUAGUAAAUGUCAUCGCAAUUUUUAUCACGCCUGAGUAGCCAUUAUUAAGCAAUCUGGUUUCGACUGACCAGCGUUAUUUUAAACAACUGUUCGUUAUUCUGAGAUGGCCCCACGAGCUGCCCUCCGACUCUGUUUGAAUCGCAACUUGUCCGUGUUCGUGUUGACAAAAGGAGUUUUUUACCGAACGAUAAUAAGUGCAACAUGGAGAACAGUAGCCUCAAUGAAUCCAUGAGUUGCGUGGGCAAAUCUCAGUUCGAUAGUAGCGGCCAGUGGCUAGGUUCGAAAAAUUAUUUUUAUUCACCGGUUGGUUACGAGUCGAUCUGAGGCCUGGUUUCGGAAUCUUCAGCUGAACCAAUGCUGCAACAGUCCUAUAGGAGCAACAACGGUUCGGAGAGGUAAAAGAACAAGCCAAGAAGGAGUAGAAGGCUAAGAAAUUAAUGAAGGAGUUUUCCCCGUGUUGGAGGAGAUGGAGGUGCAUUUUAUCCUUCAAUAUCUACACAUCACAGGAGGACUUCUUUAAUGAACGUCCUGCUAACCUUUGACAACUUUGAAAUGUUCAACGAUGACGAUUUGCCGGUGGGCACAGCUGUUCAUAGAAUUUGGGAAGGCGUUGGGCUGAACUGACCGAGAAGCCGGCCACGCAACAACCACAACGACAGCAAUCAUCUUGGCAGCAGGAUCAACAACACUCCGGAUACUCAUCUUGAUGAAAGCAGUUAGCGUCAACCGUUUCAAUUAGUUUAUUAGAAGUUAGUUUAAACAGUUUGACGUUAACAAUAAAUUGUUAAAUUGAAACUCGGUAAAAUAGUAGGAAACCAAGGCCUAAAAUGACCUCCUAGUGGAAAUAACAGGUUUAUUUAAUAGAAUAUGUAAAAAACUGUAGGCAAAUAGGAUUGUAGCAUGACUGCGUUAGAAAAUUUCCAAAAUGAACGUUCACUCGGUCUUAAAAGGUUCAAUUUUGUUUAAAUAUUUCAAACGUUAAACCAGGAAAAAUUGUUAUUACUUUCUAUUAUUUUAUUAUAAUGAAACAGUCAUGUUUAAUACUAGUUAUGAUUUA